RNA transcript from Malania oleifera, 2758 nucleotides. RefSeq lists it as uncharacterized. The transcript has 5 exons. NCBI's taxonomy places the organism in Eukaryota, Viridiplantae, Streptophyta, Magnoliopsida, Santalales, Ximeniaceae. The record is from RefSeq and is a predicted model, not a curated record.
UUCUGGUAAGCGUCGUUUCAGUUCCACUCCCUCCCCUCCUCUGGGCUCUGGCCUUCUCUCGCCGAUUCUCCCUCCCUUCCUCUACCCCUCUCUCCCUCUUCUCUAUAGACGUAGCGUGGAAGUUCUCUUCUCUGCAGUAAAUGGAGAUGGCAAUGGAGGAUUCUCACUUGAGCGUCGCUUUCCAUUCGGUUCGGAGGGUGUUUUCUGGGGAUCAGCGGUCCCGACGGUUUCCGGGAAAAUGUAUACCCAGUCCGAUACGAAGUUGUAAAUUUAGGGUUUGAAGGUCUUUUCAUAUUCUUUGUCAUCUUUCAUAUGCUUUGUAUUUCGUUUUUGCACUUGAAUUUCAAAGAAUCGAAGUUGGGGUGUCUAGGGUUUAUUUGAAUUUCUUGUUAAAUUUCUUGCUUUGGAAAGUCAAAUCCAGGGAAAUGUUGGUGAUUUGGAGUUUGUAUGGUGAAUUGAACUGAAGAUUUGACUCUCAGGACUUCUCUAAGGUUCUCGUGAGAUUUGAGGUUCUUUGGGUAACAUAUGAAGGAUAAUUCAAUGCUUUUGCUGCUCAUGAUGUUCAUGUGUGGGUUUCCUGGAAUUUUCUUGUGAAAUUUGAGCGUUCUUGGGUUUUCAACGUUCUUUGAAAGUUAUUUGUGUUUGAAUUUGUAAUUGAAAUUGGGGCGCGAAAUUUGAAUGGCGGGGAAAAGAGAAUUAGGGUUUCUGAAGCCAAGUGUUUGUAGUUUAAGAGAGCAAGCAGCAAGAACUACUCUUCAGAAUGUUAGAAUGCAAGGGCACACGUAUGUUGAGCUCCGUGAAGAUGGGAAGCGGUUUGUUUUUUUCUGCACGCUCUGUCUCGCACCGUGUUAUAGCGAUUCUGUGCUGUUUGAUCAUUUGAAGGGUAAUCUUCACAGUGAAAGGUACGCUGCUGCUAAGGUUACUCUCUUAGGAGCAAAUCCGUGGCCAUUUAAUGAUGGUGUUCAUUUCUUUAACAAUUCAAGUGAGAACGAGACUCAGUUGGCUAUUUCAAAUGAUCAGAUCAAGUUGUUAGAGAGUGGACACAAUGAUAAUAGCCUUGCUAUUGUUAGUCAUAAUGGAAAUGUGAAACCAAGUCUGAAUCAAGAUGGUAGGUGCUAUGGAUAUGCUUGUAAAAAUAAUUUAGACUAUGAGGAGGAUCUUUCUGGUUGUGUUAUGGAAAAUGGAGGCGAUUCUGAUGUACUGAUUCCUGGUGUUUUGUUUAGGGAUGAAAUUUCUGAUUUGGGAGCAAGGUUUGUUGGUUUUGGGCAAAUUAGUGCAAAGCUCUGUGAGAAGGAUGGGAUUUUAAAGGGGAUGAGUAGAAUAUGGUGUGAAUGGUUGGGUAAAAAGGAUCUUGCUGAUCAGGAUUUGUUCAUAAUUCCAGAGCAUGAAUACGCUGUUGUUAUUUUUAGUUAUAGUUAUGAUUUAGGCAGAAAGAGUUUGUUUGAUGAUGUAAAGUUCUUGCUGCCAUCCAAUUCUCCAACAGAAAUUGAGAGUGAUGAGCUACCUAGGAAGAAGAGGAAAUCGUUUUCUGACCCAGAGGAUAUUAGCAAGUCUUUAAGUAACCAGUAUGAUUCAUCUGGGGAAGAUUCCUUGUCUGCUAAUAGUUCCCCACGAUUGCUGCUAGAUCAAUAUGAUGAUCAGCUCCUCCUGCAUAAAAGAUCUACAUCAAGCAAGGCCUUAAGAAGAGAAUUAAGACGGCAACAGCGUGUAGCUGCUGAAAGAAUGUGUGAUAUAUGUCAGCACAAGAUGCUUCCAGGGAAAGAUGUGGCAACUCUCCUGAACAUGAAGACAGAAAGAUUUGCUUGCAGUAGUAGAAACGUCAGUGGGGCAUUUCAUGUAUUUCAUACCUCCUGCCUCAUACACUGGAUUCUUUUUUGUGAGUCUGAGAUGUUUAGAUAUCAGUUAGUUCAACCCAAAGCAAGGCGAAGAUCUAGGAGAAAGAAUGAAGCCAAAUGCAAAGAUAUGGGAAAGAAUAGUGAGACAAAAGCUACAGAAGUGCAAAUUUGUUCUGUGUUCUGUCCAGAGUGCCAAGGCACUGGUUUAAGCAUUGAUGGAGAUGAUAUGGAGAAACCAACAAUUCCUCUUUCUGAGAUGUUCAAAUUCAAAAUAAAAGUGAGUGAUGCACAUAGGGCAUGGAUGAAAAGCCCUGAAGUGUUGCAGAAUUGCUCGACGGGUUUCAAUUUCGCUUCCCAAUCCAAAGAAACAGUUCAGGAAAAGGUGUCACCGCUAAAGUUAUUGCAUUUUUAUAGCGCGGAUGGUUGGUGGAAAAAGGGUUGAUCGAACCAUGCAAGCAAAACUGUAUUCUGAUGUCAAGAGUCUGUAAAUCUGAUGUAUAGCAAGUGGCACAGUUCUCAUUAAAACCUCAAAUAGUAGCUGGGAUAGAAAUAAGGUGCCUUGUGGGGCGUUUUGCCUGUGGAUAGCUUCCCUACUUUUGAAUGUGUAUACCUGAUGUCUAACUGGGAUGGAUAGGUCAAUGUACACUUGUAGGAUUUGUCUGCGUUGUACUAGAUUGGUUGCUAAUGUUGGAUUGGUUCUAAAACAUUUUAUUAUAUCAUUGAAUCUGGUGUAUUCUCUAUGGAGUUUGAAGAAGGCGAAUGGAUGGAAAUGAAGAAGGUGGUUAGCAAUCCUUUUUUCUUUUUAAAUGUUCUAUUGAAGUACAGAAGCAAGAGGAAAUCUUUUGAGUUGUUUGUUAUGUAGGAAAGAAAUGGAAUUGGUCUUUUAUAGUUCUACCUUGCAAUAAAAAUUUCAAUUCAAUUCA